UGGGGAAUAUUGGGCAAUGGGCGAAAGCCUGACCCAGCAACGCCGCGUGAAGGAAGAAGGUUUUCGGAUUGUAAACUUCUGUCCUCAGGGAAGAAACAAAUGACGGUACCUGAGGAGGAAGCCCCGGCUAACUACGUGCCAGCAGCCGCGGUACUACGUAGGGGGCGAGCGUUGUCCGGAAUGACUGGGCGUAAAGGGCGCGUAGACGGCGGUGUAAGUCUGGAGUGAAAGUCCUGCUUUCAAGGUGGGAAUUGCUUUGGAGACUGGAUGGCUUGAGUGCGGAAGAGGUAAGUGGAAUUCCCAGUGUAGCGGUGAAAUGCGUAGAGAUUGGGAAGAACACCAGUGGCGAAGGCGACUUACUGGGCCGUAACUGACGUUGAUGCGCGAAAGCGUGGGGAGCGAACA
Molecule: ribosomal RNA, 405 nt
Filed under: uncultured prokaryote
Description: bacterial SSU rRNA
Rfam family: Bacterial small subunit ribosomal RNA
Source: RNAcentral